Molecule: transfer RNA, 85 nt
Filed under: Gammaproteobacteria bacterium
Lineage: Bacteria; Pseudomonadati; Pseudomonadota; Gammaproteobacteria
Also listed under: 2 other names
Description: tRNA-Leu
Rfam family: tRNA
About the family: Transfer RNA (tRNA) molecules are approximately 80 nucleotides in length.
Source: RNAcentral
GCCGACGUGGUGGAAUUGGUAGACACGCUACUUUGAGGUGGUAGUGGGUAAAACCGUGGGAGUUCGAGUCUCCCCGUCGGCACCA